AUCAGCUGCCGCGUGUGUGAAGAAGGCCUUCGGGUUGUAAAGCACUUUUGUCCGGAAAGAAGCACUCCUAAUAUGGCCGGGGGAUGACGGUACCGGAAGAAAAACACCGGCUAACUACGUGCCAGCAGCCGCGGUAAUACGUAGGGUGCAAGCGUUAAUCGGAAUUACUGGGCGUUUAGCAUGCGAAGGCGGUUUGCUAAGACCGAUGUGAAAUCCCCGGGCUCAACCUGGGAACUGCAUUGGUGACUGGCAGGCUAGAGUAUGGCGAGGGGGGUAGAAUUCCACGUGUAGCAGUGAAAUGCGUAGAGAUGUGGAGGAAUACCGAU
This 326-nucleotide ribosomal RNA is filed under the name uncultured Burkholderia sp. RNAcentral describes it as "bacterial SSU rRNA". It matches the Rfam family "Bacterial small subunit ribosomal RNA", at positions 387 to 713 of the family's 1533-position model. Lineage: Bacteria; Pseudomonadati; Pseudomonadota; Betaproteobacteria; Burkholderiales; Burkholderiaceae. The record is from RNAcentral.